AUCUACAAAAGUGUAUUUGGUAAAUUUAGACAUACGAUUUGAUGAUUGCAGCAUGAUGAAGAUGCUAAACAUACAUAAUAUUUUGUUCCAUCAAGUCUGGAAUCUUAUUUAGCAUAGUAUAAGUGCCAACCCGUAUAUAUGAAACAAUGGGGACAUAUGAGUACACAUUCUUCAAGCUUGAAUGAUCAUAUUGUGAAGCCUCAAAUCUUACAAAAAGCUCUACUGUAGCUAUCAAAUUCGCAUGUGUUAUCAUAGCAAUUCAGAUAAAGGCAAACCAGCAUGGGUAAAUCAUUCAAAGCAUAAUCAAGAACCCAAAAUCAGAAUACUAGCAUAAUCAAGAACCCAAAAUCAAAUAGAGAAGGAAUAGAAAUACAGAGGAGGAGGAGUCGUCUCACCUCUGAUGCAGUCCGUUUGGUUUGGCGGGUGUUUCUCGUCUCCUUUCGCGGGUUUUAUUCAUAGCGAAGUUGAAAGGUUUGAGUUGUUGUAGUCUUGGAGACAGUGAAGGCAUGCGAAAUAUUUAUGGCUUUGUCUAUCCGCAAACAAUUUGGAGAAUCUGUAAAUUUAGGGAACGGAUCGUUCUCUCUCGUCUCUAUCCCUAUUUUAGAGAAAGGGAUAGGGAAACUGUUGGACACAAAAACACCCUAAUAUUCUCUAAAAUAGGGAAAAACAAAGGUUUUACAGAACCUGUUGGACUUGCUCUAACAACUUGUGUUUUGGAACACGAAAACACCUGGAACACCCAAAACACCAACGUAUAUAGGGAGGAGUGUGGGGACUUGUUGUCCAACACCGAGAUCUCCCAUGGUUGUAAUGGUUUGAUUUUUUUUUUUUGUAAUGGUUGAUUAUUAUUAUUAUAUAAAGUGUUAUUUUUCUCAAAAAAAAAAAAAAACCAUCACCUUAACAUAGUAAAAGUCAUCACCUUAACACAUUGGAAAAGUGGCCCGGUACUAUUUAGUUUACCGACAUGGUCUCCUCUUAGUCAGUGAGAGAUUGUGAGUUUGACUUACGAAGUUGUAAUAUUAAAAUUGUUUACCUGAUAAAAAAAAACACGUUGGAACAGUGCUUGAGGAAUCCCUCGGUAAAAUUAGUCUGGAAUGGUAAAAAGAAAAUGACAAGAAGGCAUCUGUGAUUUGCUAGAUUAGAUGGAUGGAGAGCGAAGGGAACUUCUCUAGAACCAUAUAUCAAUAAACUCAGAAUCCGUAUCAGAGCCCAUGGCCACGAUCAGUGACCUUGUGGCUUCUGAGAUUACGCUUUAGCUUCCGCGAUUUCAAUUUCGUUUGUUUCAUUCGAUUUUGCCCCAAUUUUCUGAAGGAGAUGGUAUCGUAUUUUCAGGGCUUAGUGUUUACUGAGUCCUACUUUUACUUGGUCUUUAGUCAAUAAUCGCUAGACUUUAGGAGUCUGUUAGUAGGGUUGAUUCAUUCAAGUUGGUUAGUUGUGCUGCUAUUCAAGCAGAUAAGUAGGAGUUCAGUUUCAGUUGUAAGGCUAUUUAAAGCCAAGUUUGUUGAAUAAGAUAAUUAAGUCAUUCAGCCAUAUUGUUCUUGUGCUCUGUUUGUUAUUCUACACUCAAUCAGGGUUCUAACAAUUUGGUAUCAGAACCCCCACUGGGGCCUGAGAUAAAAGAGAGCUGCAGUCUUUCGAGUGACUCACAAAGAAGAGAGAAAGAUGAGUGAAGAGAAGGGUCUUACCAAACUGCCACACUUCGACGGUCAUUAUGACCACUGGAGUGAACUAAUGGAGAAUUUGCUGAGAGCCAAAGG
This 1757-nucleotide long non-coding RNA is filed under the name Fragaria vesca (wild strawberry). RNAcentral describes it as "long non-coding RNA (FVES_LNC003963)". The record is from RNAcentral. Lineage: Eukaryota; Viridiplantae; Streptophyta; Magnoliopsida; Rosales; Rosaceae.